Molecule: ribosomal RNA, 486 nt
Filed under: uncultured bacterium
Lineage: Bacteria
Description: partial 16S ribosomal RNA
Rfam family: Bacterial small subunit ribosomal RNA
Source: RNAcentral
AUUGAACGCUGGCGGCAUGCCUUACACAUGCAAGUCGAACGGCAGCACGGGUGCUUGCACCUGGUGGCGAGUGGCGAACGGGUGAGUAAUACAUCGGAACAUGUCCUGUAGUGGGGGAUAGCCCGGCGAAAGCCGGAUUAAUACCGCAUACGAUCCACGGAUGAAAGCGGGGGACCUUCGGGCCUCGCGCUAUAGGGUUGGCCGAUGGCUGAUUAGCUAGUUGGUGGGGUAAAGGCCUACCAAGGCGACGAUCAGUAGCUGGUCUGAGAGGACGACCAGCCACACUGGGACUGAGACACGGCCCAGACUCCUACGGGAGGCAGCAGUGGGGAAUUUUGGACAAUGGGCGAAAGCCUGAUCCAGCAAUGCUGCGUGUGUGAAGAAGGCCUUCGGGUUGUAAAGCACUUUUGUCCGGAAAGAAAUCCUUGACUCUAAUACAGUCGGGGGAUGACGGUACCGGAAGAAUAAGCACCGGCUAACUACGUG